AUGAAGCUGAACGUUGAGUUCCAUGGGAGUGACAACAGUGUGCUCAUCACCGAGAGCAGCGCGAGUAAGAAGAUCCUGAAUAUAUAUUUCUUGGGAGAUGUAGAAGCCAUCAGAGGUCGAAGAGAUCUCAAUCCCAAGAAAAUAGCGAAGUGGACCAAGAUCAGUCAUGAGAAACUGGUCGUGAAGACGAGCCUUAACAAAGGCAAUGUAAUCAGAGUCGUCACCAGUGAUGAUCAUGUCAUCAACAUAGAGAAGGAGACGUGUGAAGAAACAACGCUGGAUCAUGAUUACUGGGCAAGAAACCAGCGGCAGUCACCACAGAGGCAAAGCGCUCAAACCAGGCACGAGGGGCCUGUUUGA
Molecule: ribosomal RNA, 360 nt
Filed under: Triticum aestivum (bread wheat)
Lineage: Eukaryota; Viridiplantae; Streptophyta; Magnoliopsida; Poales; Poaceae
Description: partial small subunit ribosomal RNA
Source: RNAcentral